This is an RNA transcript of Rhineura floridana, 5312 nucleotides long. It is a transcript of the gene named TSC22 domain family protein 1, with no coding region annotated. The transcript is spliced from 3 exons. Lineage: Eukaryota; Metazoa; Chordata; Lepidosauria; Squamata; Rhineuridae. The record is from RefSeq and is a predicted model, not a curated record.
GAGCAGGCACGGGGGAGAAGGGAAGGAGAGCGGGUUGGCGACAGCCGCCGCCUCCCUCUUGCGGAUUUGCUAGUCGAAGCCCACCCCCACCCGUCUCGGCAAUUUCCGCCAGUUUGAGCCGAAGCUCUCGGGCCACCUCCCUCACUCCGGACGAAUCCUUUAUGUCUGUGUCUUGCUUGCGCGUGCGCCGCCAGCGCCAUCUUUCACUCCCUCCCCCCUUCCCCCCGACUCUGGAACAGGGAAACCGGGAGAGAAAGGGAAGGGGUCUCGGGCGGAGAGAGAACAAGCCGAGGAGGAGGCGAGCGCAGCGUCUUCGCCUCACCGCCUGCUCGUGAAGCUUGCUGGCUUCUGCUGCAAAGACGAGAGAGCGACGGCGCAGGCACAAAGAAAGGGUGAAAAAAGGGGCUGCCCGGCUGCGUCAACUUUUCCCCUCGUGUGUCUCCACCCAUCCCCAAGAAUGCCCCCCGUCUCUCGCUGCUGCCGCUGCUCCUGAUGGGGCAGUGUCUGGCGCCCGCCGGCUCCACCGGGACUGUACGUAGCCUCGCCACCGCGGCUGCUCCUACUCUUCGAGGUCUUCCCUCUUUCAUGGCCGGCUGCUGCUUUUUCCCUUCUGAGAAACCUACUCCGUUCUACCGGGAAGAGUUAGAGGUUGGGAGGCGGGGGCUUUUGCAGGCUUUUUGAGCUAGUUGCGGGGGGCCGGGCGGCGAGGAUUGUUAGUCGUCUCACCCGCUCGUCAGCAGAGAGGGAACUCGACUAGGCGAGGAAGAAAGUGAAUGGCCAGGGCUUGAGUGUCAUAUUCCCGGGAGGGGAGGGAGGAGGGCGUUUAGGGGUGCUGCCGACUGGACUGCCCUAGGAGCCGGUGUGUCUGUCUCUCCCUCUCCCUUCUCGGGCUUGGCUGCCCCAGCCAGUCAGUUGUGAGGUGCGCGUGUCUCUGCUUGGUCUCUUUUUCCUUUCGCCCUCCGUUCUGGGGAAUUGCUCCUUAAAAUAGCCCUUAGUCAAUGCACCAGCCUGACUCAGCUGCAGACAGUAGUGUGAGGAAGAUGGCGCACCCGGCGAUGCUUCCUCGAAGGGGCAGCAGCAGCAACGUCGUCGUGCCGACCCUGGGUACAGCAGGCAUCAGCACUAGUGGCGUUGGAGGCAGCAGCUUGGAAGAUUAUCCGCCUCCCUUGCUCAUUCAGCCUCCUCCUCCUACCGCAGCAUCUUCCUCUUCUCCCGGGCUGCAGCCCCCACUGCCCCCUCCUCUGCAGAGCCUGGCCCUCCUCUCUCAGCCGCAGCCACCACCACCACAGUCCCUCAGUCAGGCAGGGGCCCAGAUGAAGAAGAAAAGCGGUUUCCAGAUCACUAGUGUGACCCCAGCCCAGAUCUCAGCCAGCCUCAGCUCCAACAACAGCAUCGCUGAGGACACAGAGAGCUACGAUGACCUCGACGAGUCCCACACGGAGGACUUAUCCUCUUCUGAGAUCUUAGAUGUUUCUUUGUCCAGGGCUACUGACUUGGGGGAACCUGAGCGGAGCUCCUCAGAAGAAACUCUGAAUAACUUCCAGGAGGCUGAGAGUCCUGGGGCUGUCUCUCCCAACCAGCCUCACCUUCCCCAGCAGCAGCAUCCCUCUUUGCCACAUCCUUCCCAGCAACAGAGUCUGGUGAUCAAUGGGAGUAUUCACCCUUCUCAUGGACAUCAUUACCACCACCACCACCAUGGGCAUCACCAUGCAUCACAGUCUGGGAUGGGUGGACCAACGGUUCCUGGAGGACCUCCAUCUAGCCCAUCAUUUAGAAAAUUAUCUACUCCUGGAAGCUCUGAUAGUGUUACAACAGCUGCAGUGCCAGUUUCUGCUGCAUCAUCCGCUGGUAUGCCUGUGGGCGCUCUUAUGUCUCAUUUCCGCACUAUUAAUACAUCUGGGGUCACUUCAGCCACUGGAGCUAUUACCAGCACGUUAAGCAGUGUGGCUAGUGGUAGCCCUAGUGGGGCAAGCAGCAUGCCCGGUCCUGUUCUUAUGAAUCUGAGUAACAUCACAAGUACUGGUAGCAUAACUCCUUUGUCAGGAACUAGUGGCAGUGUUAAUGCGGCUAUCUUGAGUGGGGUUGGCAAUGGCACAAGUACUUCCUCUGGUGCUGUCAGUCAUGGUGGAAAUCCAGUUGCAGGAGGAGCAGCAGCAUCUAGUCAUCUGCAGCCUGCAGCUAGCACAUCAAGGUUCAGAGUUGUGAAACUGGAUUCUAGUUCAGAACCUUUUAAGAAGGGUAGAUGGACAUGUACAGAGUUCUAUGACAAAGAGAACCCCUUGCCAGUUACAGAAGGAGUAGCUGCAAAUAAAGCGGUAGACACUCUAAAACAAAACCCGCUUGAAGUGACUUCUGAAAGGGAGAGCACUAGUGGGAGUUCAGUUAGUAGCAAUGUAAGCACACUGAGUCACUAUACAGAAAGUGUGGGAAGUGGGGAGAUAGGAGCCCCGACUGUGGUACAGCAGCAAGCAUUUCCGGGCGCAGGUUCUCAGCAGAUGGAUUUUGGCAGUACUGGCCCUCAACCUGCGCCAGCACCUAGUAUAUCCCAGAGUGUUUCUCAGGUGCAGCUUGCACAGGUGCAGUUUCAUCCUCAAGAUGUAAAUUACCCUCAGCAAAAGCAAGGGGUCCAGCCUCCUGCAUCAGCUAUUCCUCCUCCAGUAAAUUUAGUAGGUGGCCAGCAGCAGCCUGCCAUGCCAACCAUGGCACAGCAGCUGCCAUUCACCACCCAAUCAACACAACCUGUGCAGACGGUUCCAGUUGUGCCACAAUCGCAGCAAUUACCAUAUGGGCAAGGACAGGCACAGCACCCAACACCACCACAACAGAUGCCUAUGCAGAUGGCUCCAGGGCAUGUUAGACCAGUGAAUCAAAAUUCUGUCACAGGGCCUAUGCCAGAUUAUGUACAACAGCAGCAGAUGCUUCCGGCUCCAGCUUCUUCUAUGCAGCCUGGUCCUACAGUGGUAGGAACAGGUACCCCUGUGCCUGUUGCUCAGGCACCAAGUAUGCAGCCUUCUGUACAAGCAAACUUGACAGUAGCAUCCUCUCAGCCUGUUACACAUGCUCAGACAGCAGUGCCAAUUGUGGGAGCUAGUGCUCAAAUGGUGAAUGUUGGACAACAAGGAAAUGUACCUCCUGAGGUGCAGCAACCACCUGUUGCAAACCAAAUUGCCCCUUCAGUGAUGCCGCAGAGUGCUGCUCCUCCAUCUUCCCAAGCUGUGCCCCCUGUUCCAACAGGCAUUAUUAAUCCUGGGUCGCAAGGUAGCACAUCAAGCCUUCCUCAGCCCUUGGUUAUUACUCCACAGAGUACUUUGUUACCAGUACAGAAAGCAGAAUCUCUUGCUCAAGGAAUGGCUGGCCAACAGUUGCCUGCUGUUAGUCCUGUACCUUCUGUUAGUGCUGUUCCUGUCCCAUGUCAUUCUGCUGCAAAUGUGCCCCCUAUGCCUAUGAGUUUGCCUCCUUUAAAGAACAUAGCACAAUCUUCAGGUUUGCAAAAUGGGAACUUGAUCCAAAAUGCACCUCAGCCUUCCUUGAUAUCUACUAGCAUCAAUUUGCCUUUAGCCCAAAAUGUACCACAACAGGUACCACUGAACUCUACCCAGUUCUCUGUCCAAUCUGUUGCUCAGUCAAUUACAACUCGAGGUGAAGACUCCAGGCGCUCUACAGAACCCACCUUGGUUGGCCUACCCCAACUGACCAGCAGUGAAAGUGGUGCUGGAGCAUCAUCAACCAUUUCAGAUGGGGGCAGCAGCAUGGCAUCCUCUCUUUUCCCCUUUAAGGUACUUCCGCUGACAACGCAACUUGUUGAUGGUGAGGAUGAGAGAUACAGAAUGACUGAGUCUAACAUUGCACAGUAGUAUGCCCAUGAAGAGGCACUACCAAAGUUAAUUAUGUCUAGAGCAAAAGCUGGGAGGUCUGACUGAGCCAAGCAGAUUCCUCAUUUCUUGAUCUUUGAUCGCCCAAUUAUCUCUCAUGAUGUUUCAGCUUUCUACCUCAGCAUUACUACUACUUCCAUUGGAACAACACAAAUUUUGAUUGUUCCAUACAGUGUGCCUAGCCAUGGCGUAGCUCAUUCAACCCACAAUGCUGGUAAAGACAUUAAGAGAAGAUUCUGAUGUCCCAUGUAAAAGUAAUGCUUCAGACAUGAAGUUGCUGUUGGAGAACUGGGCAUGUUUGAAACAAAUAGUUUUAUGAAGUGUUACAAUGCCAUUUUCUAUACAGCCACUGUUUAGAGUAAGAAUAUAUUUAUACAUUAAAAUAUCAAUGUUAAUUACAAAGUCAUUCUCUUCAGUGGAUGUGUACCAUCUGGCUAGAAUUAAAAACUUUUAGCACAUUUCUGAUUGUAUAAAGAAGGCAACAUUUCAUCAUCACUUACUUUAUUUGAGUUCUCUAUAGAAGAUAAACAUCUGGAGAAAUAAUGAAGAACGAGGGGUAAAAGGAGUCAUUAGUGAAUUUGCUAAAUCCAAUUUGAAGAAUGCAGAUAGAAUGACUGGAUAGCACUGUCAAACAGUACUUGAAAGGGUUUCUUUUAGAAUUCUGGUCUCCUUGGAACUGGGAACUAGGGGGAACCCCUACCACCACCAGAAAUAAAAAGAAGCAAAAAUAAAGUCCUGCAGGACUUGGACUGUUGUAUGGAACAGCAAGGAUGGCAAGCAUAGCUGAAGAAUCAAAGAAGACUGACUCUUCUGGAAACCAUUUGUAGUCUCCAAAGUGAAUGGCAUCCUGGUUUUUAAUAUCAUCCCAGAAUAAUUUUAAUAUUGGACAAAAACAUUUUAGUGUUUUGAGCAGAAACAUCUAUGUUGAUACUUUUAGGGUGUGGAAAUUUUUUUCAUCAGUCUAAAUAAUACUUUGAAAAUACUUAAUGAACUCCCAUCCUUGCAAGGUAUCACCAUCAGAGGAACUGUAUUAUUGCUAAUAAAUUUUUACAACUUUUAAAGCCAUAUGAAACAUGCUUUGUGAUUGGUCUGUAGACCUGUGUAAUUUUAUUUGCAUUUUGCAAAUUUAAACAUGGAAGCUGAUUAUUUGUUUUUGUAAAAGAAGAUACAAUAAUAAUAACUUACUUGUCUACCUUCUUAACAGGAAGUUUUGUUGUUAAUCUAAAAUAUUAUCAGACUAGGGGCUGUAUCCAAUGCUGCCGUUCUGCUUGCACAACAGACUUCAGCUUAUGCAACGAAACUUCCUGCUCCUUUCACUUGCAGCUCCCCAUGCACCCUCAAAAUCUGGACCAGAUUUGGGGGGGGGGGGCGCAGAGAUGAGAGGAAGGGGAAAUCCGGUUGUGUGAACAGAACCCAUAGCUUAUAUCAGAAGAAAUAAAA